RNAcentral lists this ribosomal RNA (1422 nucleotides) under uncultured organism. RNAcentral describes it as "bacterial SSU rRNA". It matches the Rfam family "Bacterial small subunit ribosomal RNA", at positions 58 to 1429 of the family's 1533-position model. The record is from RNAcentral.
CAAGUCGAGCGAGAAAGUACCCUUCGGGGUGCGAGUACAGCGGCGAACGGGUGAGUAACACGUAAGCAAUCUGCCCCCAAAUCUGGGAUAACUCUGCCAACGCGGGGCUAAUACCGGAUGUGGUCACGACAUCGCAUGGUGUUGUGAUUAAAGAUGGCUUCGGCUAUCGUUUGGGGAUGAGCUUGCGGCCCAUUAGCUUGUUGGUGGGGUAAUGGCCCACCAAGGCGACGAUGGGUAGCCGACCUGAGAGGGUGAUCGGCCACAUUGGGACUGAGAUACGGCCCAGACUCCUACGGGAGGCAGCAGUAGGGAAUUUUGCGCAAUGGACGAAAGUCUGACGCAGCGACGCCCGCGUGAGGGAUGACGGCCUUCGGGUUGUAAACCUCUGUUGAGUGGGACGAAAACUCGUAGGGUUAAUACCCCUGCGACCUGACGGUACCACUCGAGGAAGCUCCGGCUAACUACGUGCCAGCAGCCGCGGUAAUACGUAGGGAGCAAGCGUUGUUCGGAAUCACUGGGCGUAAAGGGGAGUGUAGGCGGAAAAGUAAGUUAGGAGUGAAAUACCACAGGCUUAACCUGUGGGCCGCUCUUAAUAACUGUUUUCUUGAGUAUGGGAGAGGAAGAUGGAAUUCCAGGUGUAGCGGUGGAAAUGCGUAGAUAUCUGGAAGAACACCCAGUAGGCGAAGGCGGUCUUCUGGCCCAAAUAACUGAACGCUGAGGCUCGAAAAGCUAGGGGGAGCAACCAGGAUUAGAAUACCCUUGGUAAUCCUAGCCGUAAACGAUGGCCACUAGUUGUCGGGCGGAAGCAAUCCCCUUCGGGUGGACGAAGCUAAACGCAUUAAAGUGUCCCGGCCUGGGGGAAGUACGCUUCGCAAGGGGUGAACUUCCAAAGGAAUUGACCGGGGGCCCGCACAAGCGGGUGGAGCAUGUGCUUUAAUUCGAUGCAACGCGAAGAACCUUACCUGGGUUUGACAUGGGGGUGAAAGUAACCAGAGAUGGAUACCUUUUCCUUCGGGAACACCCUACACAGGUGCUGCAUGGUUGUCGUCAGCUCGUGUCGUGAGAUGUUGGGUUAAGUCCCGCAACGAGCGCAACCCCUACCCUUAGUUGCCAGCGGGUUAUGCCGGGUACUCUAGGGGGACUGCCUGGACUAACCAGGAGGAAGGUGGGGAUGACGUCAAAUCCUCAUGGCCCUUACGCCCAGGGCUAGACACGUGCUACAAUGGCCGGUACAAUAGGCUGCGAACUCGCGAGAGUAAGCUAAUCCGAUAAAACCGGCCUCAGUUCGGAUUGGAGUCUGCAACUCGACUCCAUGAAGGUGGAAUCGCUAGUAAUCGCGGAUCAGCAUGCCGCGGUGAAUACGUUCCCGGGCCUUGUACACACCGCCCUGCAAGCCGUGAAAGACGGUAGUGCCCGAAGUCG